AGACGUCAAUGAGUGUACCGAAAACCCAUGCCAACACGGACGCUGUGUGAACGAAGAUGGCGGCUACAAAUGUACCUGCUCACCUGGAUGGACUGGACAGAACUGUCAGCAAGACAUCGAUGAGUGUGCCAAAAACCCAUGCAAACAUGGACUCUGUAAGAACAGAAGAGGUCGUUACAAAUGUACCUGCUCACCUGGAUGGACUGGGCGGAACUGUAAUCGAGACAUCAAUGAGUGUACCAAAAACCCAUGCCAACAUGGACACUGCGUGAACAGACGAGG
Branchiostoma floridae (Florida lancelet) is the source of this 282-nucleotide long non-coding RNA. RefSeq lists it as uncharacterized. The record is from RefSeq and is a predicted model, not a curated record. NCBI's taxonomy places the organism in Eukaryota, Metazoa, Chordata, Leptocardii, Amphioxiformes, Branchiostomatidae. The transcript is spliced from 3 exons.